CUCAGUGGGAAACGAGGUGAGAUUUCUUAAACAAUGAGGAUGUUGGCUUAGAAGCAGCCAUUCAUUUAAAGAGUGCGUAACAGCUCACUCAUCAAGAGAUCUUGCGCGGAAAAUGUAACGGGGCUCAAGCAUAUGACCGACGAUAUGGAUGCGUAAUUUAUUACGCGUGGUAGAGGAGCGUUCCUAUCUGCGUUGAAGUCGAACCGCGAGGUUCGGUGGAGCGUUAGGAAGUGAGAAUGCUGGAAUCAGUAACCAUAAGGCAGGUGAGAAUCCUGCCCACCGAAAGAGCAAGGUUUCCUGGGCAACGAUAAUCGUCCCAGGGUUAGUCGGUCCUAAGCCGAGGCGCGUAGCGUAGGCGAUGGACAACAGGUUAAUAUUCCUGUACCGGUAUUACUUUGUUUGCAUGACACGGCAUAUUAGCGAGAGCGGACUAUUGAUAUUUCCGUCUAAGUAGUAGAAAUGGCUACAAAUGAAACGUUUGAAUAAAACGAAUUCUCGUGAAGGUGCUGGCCAGAAAAGCAUGCAAACGCGUGGGUAAUGCCGUCCGUACCGCAAACCGACACAGGUGCUCAGGUCGAGAAGACCAAGGUGUACGAGUGAUUCUUCGUUAAGGAACUCGGCAAUACAGCGACCGUAACUUCGGGAUAAGGUCUGCCCCCUCACAAUGUUUAUAAUGUUGUGAGAUUUGCCUCAAGAGUUUUCUUUUAACAAAAAUGUAGAUUAAUGGUUUUAGUAACACCUAAUAUUUACAGAGCGAGCAACAAUGAGAAAGAAAGCUUUAGAACGUCUUUUUACAAUGCCUUUAUAAGUAUUGUGAGGGGGCCGCAGCUAAAGAACCCAUGCAACUGUUUACCAAAAACACAGGUCUCUGCUAACACGAAAGUGGAUGUAUAGGGGCUGACUCCUGCCCGGUGCUGGAAGGUUAAGGGGAGAGCUUCACGGCUUGAACUGAAGCCCCAGUGAACGGCGGCGGUAACUAUAACCGUCCUAAGGUAGCGAAAUUCCUUGUCAGGUAAGUUCUGACCCGCACGAAUGGAGUAAUGAUAUGGGUACUGUCUCAACGAAGAGCUCGGUGAACGUGCAUUGACGGUAAAGAUGCCGUCUGUCCGCAGCAGGACGAAAAGACCCUAUGGAGCUUUACUACAGCUUGACAUUGAAUCGAGCUGCAAUAUGUGUAGCAUAGCUGGGAGACUUUGAAGCCUAGGCGCCAGCCUAGGUGGAGUCGAAAUAUGAAAUACCAGCCUUAUUGUAGUUUUAUUCUUACGUGUCCCUUUAAUUGCCGCUGACGCUUAUGAGACACCCUUUCAGGGUUUCUCAUCGCGCGGUGCGACUGGCAAAAGCCAGCUCGCUCCGGCUGCUCUUCCCGACGGAGGAGAAGAUAAGUCAGAGGUUAUUACAGGGACGCAGACAGUGUCUGGUGGGUAGUUUAACUGGGGCGGUUGCCUCCUAAAGAGUAUCGGAGGCGUUCAAAGGUUGGCUAGAUACGGAUGGAAAUCGUAUCGAUAGUGCAUGCGCAGAAGCCAGCUUGACUGUGAGACCUACAAGUCGAUCAGGCACGAAAGUGGGAGCAAGUGACCCGCUGUAUUAACCAUUUAUGGUUUAUGAGAGUGGAAUCGACAGCGCAAACGGAUAAAAGUUACCCUAGGGAUAACAGGCUUAUCGGGCCCAAUAGUUCACAUAGACGGCCCGGUUUGGCACCUCGAUGUCGGCUCAUCACAUCCUGGAGGGGGAGCACCUUCCAAGGGUCCGGCUGUUCGCCGGUUAAAGUGGUACGUGAGCUGGGUUCAGAACGUCGUGAGACAGUUCGGUUUAUAUCCGCUGUGGACGUCAGGAAAAUUGAGAGAAUUUGACCCUAGUACGAGAGGACCGGGUUGAACGCACCGCUGGUGUACCAAUUGUGGGAUCUACCUGCAUCGUUGGGUAGCUAUGUGCGGACCAGAUAAGCGCUGAAAGCAUAUUAAGCGCGAAACUGACCUCAAGAUUAGUUUUCCCUAUGGAGCCCCCUGAAAGACGAUCAGGUUGAUAGGCGCAAGGUGUAAGAGCAGCAAUGUUUUCAGCCGAAGCGUACUAAUAGGGCCAUUGACUUUCUAAG
This 2092-nucleotide ribosomal RNA is filed under the name bacterium. RNAcentral describes it as "partial 23S ribosomal RNA". It matches the Rfam family "Bacterial large subunit ribosomal RNA", at positions 1059 to 2925 of the family's 2925-position model. The record is from RNAcentral.